RNAcentral lists this ribosomal RNA (492 nucleotides) under uncultured bacterium. Its description in RNAcentral is "bacterial SSU rRNA". It matches the Rfam family "Bacterial small subunit ribosomal RNA", at positions 903 to 1397 of the family's 1533-position model. The record is from RNAcentral.
AAAGGAAUUGACGGGGGCCCGCACAAGCAGUGGAGUAUGUGGAUUAAUUCGAAGCAACGCGAAGAACCUUACCAGGGCUUGACAUACAGGUGAAUAUGUCAGAGAUGAUAUAGCUUUUCGGAGCACCUGAACAGGUGGUGCAUGGUUGUCGUCAGCUCGUGUCGUGAGAUGUUGGGUUAAGUCCCGCAACGAGCGCAACCCCUGUUGUUAGUUGCCAUCAUUAAGUUGGGCACUCUAACGAGACUGCCGGUGACAAAUCGGAGGAAGGUGGGGACGACGUCAAAUCAUCAUGCCCCUUAUGUCCUGGGCCUCACACGUACUACAAUGGCUAUAACAGCAGGCAGCGAAGGAGCAAUCCGGAGCAAAUCCUAAAAAAAUAGUCUCAGUUCGGAUUGUGGGCUGCAACUCGCCCGCAUGAAGCAGGAAUUGCUAGUAAUGGCAGGUCAGCAUACUGCCGUGAAUACGUUCCCGGGCCUUGUACACACCGCCCGU